CUUCUCCUACGGGAGGCAGCAGUAGGGAAUCUUCGGCAAUGGGGGCAACCCUGACCGAGCAACGCCGCGUGAGUGAAGAAGGUUUUCGGAUCGUAAAGCUCUGUUGUAAGAGAAGAACGUGUGUGAGAGUGGAAAGUUCACACAGUGACGGUAACUUACCAGAAAGGGACGGCUAACUACGUGCCAGCAGCCGCGGUAAUUA
This 202-nucleotide ribosomal RNA is filed under the name uncultured bacterium. RNAcentral's name for it is "partial 16S ribosomal RNA". It matches the Rfam family "Bacterial small subunit ribosomal RNA", at positions 333 to 525 of the family's 1533-position model. The record is from RNAcentral.